This 2591-nucleotide long non-coding RNA is filed under the name Homo sapiens (human). RNAcentral's name for it is "non-protein coding THUMPD3-AS1:19". Lineage: Eukaryota; Metazoa; Chordata; Mammalia; Primates; Hominidae. The record is from RNAcentral.
GGGGGCGGGCUGCCGGCCGAGACUUCUGGAUGGCGGCGGCCGCGGCUCCGCCCCGGGUUCCCACCGCCUGAAGGGCGAGACAAGCCCGACCUGCUACAGGCACUCGUGGGGGUGGGGGAGGAGCGGGGGUCGGUCCGGCUGGUUUGUGGGUGGGAGGCGCUUGUUCUCCAAAAACCGGCGCGAGCUGCAAUCCUGAGGGAGCUGCGGUGGAGGAGGUGGAGAGAAGGCCGCACCCUUCUGGGCAGGGGGAGGGGAGUGCCGCAAUACCUUUAUGGGAGUUCUCUGCUGCCUCCCGUCUUGUAAGGACCGCCCUGGGCCUGGAAGAAGCCCUCCCUCCUUUCCUCCUCGCGUGAUCUCGUCAUCGCCUCCAUGUCGAGUCGCUUCUCGAUUAUGGGCGGGAUUCUUUUGCCUAGGCUUAAGGGGCUAACUUGGUCCCUGGGCGUUGCCCUGCAGGGGAGUGAGCAGCUGUAAGAUUUGAGGGGCGACUCCGAUUAGUUUAUCUUCCCACGGACUAGAGUUGGUGUCGAGGUUAUUGUAAUAAGGGUGGGGUAGGGAAAUGGAGCUUAGUCAUUCACCUGGGGCUGAUUUUAUGCAACGAGACUGCGGAUUAUCACUACUUAUCAUUUUUGGAGCAUUUUUCUAGAGACAGACAUAAAGCAUGAUCACCUGAGUUUUAUACCAUUUGAGACCCUUGCUGCACCACCAAAGUGUAGCAUCAGGUUAAAUCUUAAUAGAAAAAUUUUAGCUUUUGCUUGAGAAACCAGUGCUUCCCUCCCUCACCCUCUCUCCCCAGGCUCUCUACCCCUUUGCAUCCCUACCAGGCAUCUUAGCAACUCUCACUCAUACUUGAUCCCAUUUUCCAUUUGUUGUACUUGCUCCUCUAGUAUUCAGACAUAGCACUAGCUUUCUCCCUCUCUUGAUCUUGGGUAGCCUGGUGUCUCGCGAAACCAGACAGAUUGGUUCCACCACAAAUUAAGGCUUGAGCUGGGGCUUGACUCUUACCCAGCAGUGCUUUUAUUCCUCCCUAGUUCACGUUCUUAAAUGUUUAUCUUGAUUUUCAUUUUAUCCUUUUUCCUUAGCUGGGAUUCUGUCCCUGACCGUCUUCACAGUCCAGGUGAUCUUGACUACUGCUUUACAGAGAAUUGGAUCUGAGGUUAGGCAACAUCUCCCUUUUUCUUCCUCUAAAUACCUCUCAUUUCUGUUCUUACCAGUUAGUAACUGAUCUCAGAUGCCUGUGUGAUAGCUUCCAAAUUGCUGUCUCUGUCUUUAGUGUUAUCUUUUGAUCCAUCUUACAUCUUGUUAGGAUGAUUGUCCUAAAGGAAGAUAGAGCAUGAAAAUGACAGGUGAAACUCCAUUACUGGCUUGUACUGUUUACAGCAAGUUGUCUAACCCGCGGGCCGCAUGGGACCCAGGACAGCUUUGAAUGCGACCCAACACAAAUUCGUAAACUUUCUUAAAGUUUUAGGAGUUUUUUUUGCGGGGUGUUUUUUUUGUUGUUGUUGUCUGUUUUUUUUUUUUGCUCAUCAGCUGUCCUUUAUAUGUGGCCCAAGACAGUUCUUGCAGUGUGGCCCAGGGAAGCCGAAAGAUUGGACACCCCUGGUUUACAGGAUGAAUUCUGUUCUCGUGAAUGUGAUGCAUAAGGUCCCUGGAUAGACUUUCCUCAAUUUAACAGCUUUUUCAUUUUUCACUAUUUUCCACAUACUACACACACAAAUAUGACCUCUCUCCUGAAGUCACAUGGAAUGAAUUGCAGUUACCCAAAUCAUAGAGACGUCAUAUAUCUUUGUGGGGUGGUUCUUUUUGGAAUGCUACCCUUGCUGCUUUUAAUCCUGCAGAUUCAAAUGUCAUCUCCCCUUUGGUCAUGCCUUCCAUGGUCUGUUGUUCUAUGACCCAAACUGCCCUUUUAAAAAAGCAGUUUUCUUCUGACUCCUGAGCAGUUUGUACUGCGUGGGUCAUAGUAAUUCUGGGGUUGUUGUCAUUGCUGAUUUAAAUUACCUUAACUAUUCUGAGCUUUUUGAAGGAAUAGUGUCUUGUACUCCUGAGCUCCUAGUAUACUCUGAUGUCUAGCCAACUUUAAGUAAAUGGAGUGAGCGACAUGUAAAUGUCUUUAUGGUUUGACAUUUUAUUAAUCUUGAGCAUUGGAAAAGUGGCUGGUAUGACUAAAGAACUGAAUUUUUAUUUUUUAUCUAAUUUGAAUUGCAACUGUGGACAGUAUAGCUGUAGCCCCGGACUUGUUCUGUGGAUUACAGAAUACGUGGACAUUGAUGGUUUUCUCUUUUUACUGAGCAGUAAGGAAAUAAAAGCUGAAGCUCUCUGGCCCAUUACAUUUCAUUUAACUGCUUGUUUUGUUUUAUUUAUUAUAUAUUUAGCUGAAAGCUAAGUCCAACAAACCAUUUUUAAAGAUGUGCCUGCCUUGGACAACAGUGAAAGCAAGCGUUAAUGAGUUUGGAUUUCAAAAAAAAAUGCAUAAUGAAUUUUAGGGAGGUGUGGAAACAGGAAGAGAACUAGAACUGGAAGUAAAGCAUUGAAGAUGUGACUGAAUUGCUGCAAUCUCAUGAUCAAAUUUGAAUGGAUGAGGAGUUGCUUUUUAG